GAUGAACGCUAGCGACAGGCUUAACACAUGCAAGUCGAGGGGCAUCACGAGGUAGCAAUACUUUGGUGGCGACCGGCGUACGGGUGCGUAACACGUAUGCAACCUUCCUGUAAGUGUGGGAUAGCCUCCUGAAAGGGAGAUUAAUACCUCAUGAUAUGUAUUUGCUGCAUGGCAUUUACAUUAAACAUUUAUGGCUUACAGAUGGGCAUGCGUUCCAUUAGGCAGUUGGUGUGGUAACGGCUCACCAAACCUACGAUGGAUAGGGGUUCUGAGAGGAAGGUCCCCCACACUGGAACUGAGACACGGUCCAGACUCCUACGGGAGGCAGCAGUGAGGAAUAUUGGUCAAUGGGCGAGAGCCUGAACCAGCCAAGUCGCGUGAAGGAAGAAGGAUCUAUGGUUCGUAAACUUCUUUUGCAGGGGAAUAAAGUGCGGGACGUGUCCUGUUUUGUAUGUACCCUGAGAAUAAGGAUCGGCUAACUCCGUG
RNAcentral lists this ribosomal RNA (486 nucleotides) under uncultured bacterium. Its description in RNAcentral is "bacterial SSU rRNA". It matches the Rfam family "Bacterial small subunit ribosomal RNA", at positions 28 to 507 of the family's 1533-position model. The record is from RNAcentral.